AGGCACGUAGAUCAGUUGGUUAGAGCACCACCUUGACAUGGUGGGGGUCGUUGGUUCGAAUCCAAUCGUGCCUACCA
This 77-nucleotide transfer RNA is filed under the name Pseudomonas aeruginosa. Its description in RNAcentral is "tRNA-Val". It matches the Rfam family "tRNA". Rfam says of the family: Transfer RNA (tRNA) molecules are approximately 80 nucleotides in length. Their secondary structure includes four short double-helical elements and three loops (D, anti-codon, and T loops). Further hydrogen bonds mediate the characteristic L-shaped molecular structure. tRNAs have two regions of fundamental functional importance: the anti-codon, which is responsible for specific mRNA codon recognition, and the 3' end, to which the tRNAs corresponding amino acid is attached (by aminoacyl-tRNA synthetases). tRNAs cope with the degeneracy of the genetic code in two manners: having more than one tRNA (with a specific anti-codon) for a particular amino acid; and 'wobble' base-pairing, i.e. permitting non-standard base-pairing at the 3rd anti-codon position. Lineage: Bacteria; Pseudomonadati; Pseudomonadota; Gammaproteobacteria; Pseudomonadales; Pseudomonadaceae. The record is from RNAcentral.